Molecule: ribosomal RNA, 253 nt
Filed under: uncultured bacterium
Lineage: Bacteria
Description: partial 16S ribosomal RNA
Rfam family: Bacterial small subunit ribosomal RNA
Source: RNAcentral
UACGUAGGGUGCAAGCGUUGCCCGGAUUUAUUGGGCGUAAAGGGCGCGCAGGCGGCCACGCACGUCCGUUGUGAAAUCGCUCGGCUCAACUGGGCGGGGUCAGCGGAUACGGCGCGGCUGGAGCAAGCUAGGGGGCAAUGGAAUUCCCGGUGUAGUGGUGGAAUGCGUAGAUAUCGGGAGGAACACCAGUGGCGAAGGCGGUUGCCUGGAGCUUUGCUGACGCUGAGGCGCGAAAGCUAGGGGAGCGAACGGG